Molecule: ribosomal RNA, 307 nt
Filed under: uncultured bacterium
Lineage: Bacteria
Description: bacterial SSU rRNA
Rfam family: Bacterial small subunit ribosomal RNA
Source: RNAcentral
GAUGAACGCUAGCGGCAGGCCUAACACAUGCAAGUCGAGGGGUAACGAUGUCUUCGGACAGGCGACGACCGGCGCACGGGUGAGUAACGCGUAUACAACCUACCUUUAACAGGAGGAUAGCCCCGAGAAAUCGGGAUUAAUACUCCAUAAUAUUAUUUUACCGCAUGGUAAUUUGAUUAAAACUCCGGUGGUUAAAGAUGGGUAUGCGUGACAUUAGUUAGUUGGUGAGGUAACGGCUCACCAAGACCGCGAUGUCUAGGGGUUCUGAGAGGAUGAUCCCCCACACUGGUACUGAGACACGGACCAG